Molecule: ribosomal RNA, 736 nt
Filed under: uncultured Atopobium sp.
Lineage: Bacteria; Bacillati; Actinomycetota; Coriobacteriia; Coriobacteriales; Atopobiaceae
Description: bacterial SSU rRNA
Rfam family: Bacterial small subunit ribosomal RNA
Source: RNAcentral
GAUGAACGCUGGCGGCGCGCCUAACACAUGCAAGUCGGACGGUUAAAGCACCUUUUAGGUGUGUAUAAAGUGGCGAACGGCUGAGUAACACGUGGGCAACCUGCCCUCCUCUUGGGGAUAGCCUCGGGAAACCGAGGAUAAUACCCGAUACUUCAAUGUGGCCGCAUGACGACAUUGAGAAAGCUUUUGCGGAGAAGGAUGGGCCCGCGGCCUGUUAGCUUGUUGGUGGGGUAGAGGCCUACCAAGGCAAUGGUGGGUAGCUGGGUUGAGAGACCGACCAGCCAGAUUGGGACUGAGACACGGCCCAGACUCCUACGGGAGGCAGCAGUGGGGAAUCUUGCACAAUGGGCGAAAGCCUGAUGCAGCGACGCCGCGUGCGGGAAGAAGGCCUUCGGGUUGUAAACCGCUUUCAGCAGGGACGAGGCGAAAGUGACGGUACCUGCAGAAGAAGCCCCGGCUAACUACGUGCCAGCAGCCGCGGUAAUACGUAGGGGGCAAGCGUUAUCCGGAUUCAUUGGGCGUAAAGCGCUCGUAGGCGGUCUGUUAGGUCGGGAGUUAAAUCCGGAGGCUCAACCUCCGCCCGCUCCCGAUACCGGCAGACUUGAGUUUGGUAGGGGAAGGUGGAAUUCCUGGUGUAGCGGUGGAAUGCGCAGAUAUUAGGAAGAACACCAGUGGCGAAGGCGGCCUUCUGGGCCAUAACUGACGCUGAGGAGCGAAAGCUAGGGGAGCAAACAGG